This 301-nucleotide ribosomal RNA is filed under the name uncultured bacterium. Its description in RNAcentral is "partial 16S ribosomal RNA". It matches the Rfam family "Bacterial small subunit ribosomal RNA", at positions 509 to 809 of the family's 1533-position model. The record is from RNAcentral.
CAGCAGCCGCGGUAAUACGUAGGGUGCGAGCGUUAAUCGGAAUUACUGGGCGUAAAGCGUGCGCAGGCGGUUGUGUAAGACAGGUGUGAAAUCCCCGGGCUUAACCUGGGAACUGCGCUUGUGACUGCACAGCUAGAGUAUGGCAGAGGGGGGUGGAAUUCCACGUGUAGCAGUGAAAUGCGUAGAGAUGUGGAGGAACACCGAUGGCGAAGGCAGCCCCCUGGGCCAAUACUGACGCUCAUGCACGAAAGCGUGGGGAGCAAACAGGAUUAGAUACCCGCGUAGUCCCUGUCUCUUAUAA